This 230-nucleotide ribosomal RNA is filed under the name uncultured bacterium. RNAcentral's name for it is "partial 16S ribosomal RNA". It matches the Rfam family "Bacterial small subunit ribosomal RNA", at positions 562 to 791 of the family's 1533-position model. The record is from RNAcentral.
AAAGCGUGCGCAGGCGGUUAUGUAAGACAGAUGUGAAAUCCCCGGGCUCAACCUGGGAACUGCAUUAGUGACUGCAUAGCUGGAGUACGGCAGAGGGGGAUGGAAUUCCGCGUGUAGCAGUGAAAUGCGUAGAUAUGCGGAGGAACACCGAUGGCGAAGGCAGCCCCCUGGGUCAAAACUGACGCUCAUGCACGAAAGCGUGGGGAGCAAACAGGAUUAGAUACCCGUGU